Molecule: non-coding RNA, 82 nt
Organism: Ordospora colligata OC4
Lineage: Eukaryota; Fungi; Microsporidia; Ordosporidae
Source: the annotation of a RefSeq genome assembly
GACAGCGUGGCCGAGUGGUCUAAGGCAAUCGAUUCGAAAUCGAUGGACUUUGUCCCCGCAGGUUCGAAUCCUGCCGUUGUCG